This 97-nucleotide ribosomal RNA is filed under the name uncultured bacterium. RNAcentral describes it as "partial 16S ribosomal RNA". It matches the Rfam family "Bacterial small subunit ribosomal RNA", at positions 1386 to 1482 of the family's 1533-position model. The record is from RNAcentral.
CACACCGCCCGUCACACCAUGGGAGUUGGUUCUACCCGAAGGCAGUGCGCCAACCGCAAGGAGGCAGCUGACCACGGUAGGGUCAGCGACUGGGGUG